RNAcentral lists this ribosomal RNA (2018 nucleotides) under Streptomyces sp. CS227. RNAcentral describes it as "bacterial LSU rRNA". It matches the Rfam family "Bacterial large subunit ribosomal RNA", at positions 590 to 2473 of the family's 2925-position model. The record is from RNAcentral. Lineage: Bacteria; Bacillati; Actinomycetota; Actinomycetes; Kitasatosporales; Streptomycetaceae.
GUCGUGACUGCGUGCCUUUUGAAGAAUGAGCCUGCGAGUUAGCGGUGUGUAGCGAGGUUAACCCGUGUGGGGAAGCCGUAGCGAAAGCGAGUCCGAAGAGGGCGUUUGAGUUGCACGCUCUAGACCCGAAGCGGAGUGAUCUAGCCAUGGGCAGGUUGAAGCGGCUGUAAGAGGUCGUGGAGGACCGAACCCACCAGGGUUGAAAACCUGGGGGAUGACCUGUGGUUAGGGGUGAAAGGCCAAUCAAACUCCGUGAUAGCUGGUUCUCCCCGAAAUGCAUUUAGGUGCAGCGUCGUGUGUUUCUUGCCGGAGGUAGAGCACUGGAUAGGCGAUGGGCCCUACCGGGUUACUGACCUUAGCCAAACUCCGAAUGCCGGUAAGUGAGAGCGCGGCAGUGAGACUGUGGGGGAUAAGCUCCAUGGUCGAGAGGGAAACAGCCCAGAGCAUCGACUAAGGCCCCUAAGCGUACGCUAAGUGGGAAAGGAUGUGGAGUCGCAGAGACAACCAGGAGGUUGGCUUAGAAGCAGCCACCCUUGAAAGAGUGCGUAAUAGCUCACUGGUCUAGUGAUUCCGCGCCGACAAUGUAGCGGGGCUCAAGCGUACCGCCGAAGUCGUGUCAUUGCAGCAUGAGGGCUAACGCCUGCUGUGAUGGGUAGGGGAGCGUCGUGUGCCGGGUGAAGCAGCCGUGGAAGCGAGUUGUGGACGGUUCACGAGUGAGAAUGCAGGCAUGAGUAGCGAUUCACACGUGAGAAACGUGUGCGCCGAUUGACUAAGGGUUCCUGGGUCAAGCUGAUCUGCCCAGGGUAAGUCGGGACCUAAGGCGAGGCCGACAGGCGUAGUCGAUGGAUAACCGGUUGAUAUUCCGGUACCCGCUGUGAAGCGUCAAACAUUGAAUCCAGUGAUGCUAAGCCCGUGAAGCCGUUCCGGACCCUUCGGGGAAUGGAAAGUGGUGGAGCCGGUGGCCCGAGCUGGUAGUAGGUGAGUGAUGGGGUGACGCAGGAAGGUAGUCCAUCCCGGGCGGUGGUUGUCCCGGGGUAAGGGUGUAGGACGUCAGGUAGGUAAAUCCGCCUGGCUAUAGUCUGAGACCUGAUGCCGAGCCGAUUGUGGUGAAGUGGAUGAUCCUAUGCUGUCGAGAAAAGCCUCUAGCGAGUUUCAUGGCGGCCCGUACCCUAAACCGACUCAGGUGGUCAGGUAGAGAAUACCGAGGCGUUCGGGUGAACUAUGGUUAAGGAACUCGGCAAAAUGCCCCCGUAACUUCGGGAGAAGGGGGGCCAUGUCUGGUGAUCCGAUUUACUCGGUGAGCUGGGUGUGGCCGCAGAGACCAGCGAGAAGCGACUGUUUACUAAAAACACAGGUCCGUGCGAAGCCGUAAGGCGAUGUAUACGGACUGACGCCUGCCCGGUGCUGGAACGUUAAGGGGACCGGUUAGUCACAUUUCGGUGUGGCGAAGCUGAGAACUUAAGCGCCAGUAAACGGCGGUGGUAACUAUAACCAUCCUAAGGUAGCGAAAUUCCUUGUCGGGUAAGUUCCGACCUGCACGAAUGGCGUAACGACUUCUCGACUGUCUCAACCAUAGGCCCGGUGAAAUUGCAUUACGAGUAAAGAUGCUCGUUUCGCGCAGCAGGACGGAAAGACCCCGGGACCUUUACUACAGUUUGAUAUUGGUGUUCGGUUCGGCUUGUGUAGGAUAGGUGGGAGACUGUGAAGCAUGCACGCCAGUGUGUGUGGAGUCGUCGUUGAAAUACCACUCUGGUCGUGCUGGAUGUCUAACCUGGGUCCGUGAUCCGGAUCAGGGACAGUGUCUGAUGGGUAGUUUAACUGGGGCGGUUGCCUCCUAAAGAGUAACGGAGGCGCCCAAAGGUUCCCUCAGCCUGGUUGGUAAUCAGGUGUUGAGUGUAAGUGCACAAGGGAGCUUGACUGUGAGACCGACGGGUCGAGCAGGGACGAAAGUCGGGACUAGUGAUCCGGCGGUGGCUUGUGGAAGCGCCGUCGCUCAACGGAUAAAAGGUACCCCGGGG